GGAGAUAGCUGGUUCUCCGCGAAAACUAUUUAGGUAGUGCGUCGAGUGAUUACCUUCGGGGGUAGAGCACUGGAUGGGCUAGGGGGGCGCGAGCCUUACCAAACCUAACCAAACUCCGAAUACCGAAGAGUACAGCUCGGCAGACAGACCACGGGUGCUAAGGUCCGUGGUCGAGAGGGAAACAGCCCAGACCGCCAGUUAAGGUCCCAAAGUUGUGGCUAAGUGGGAAAGGAUGUAGGAAGGCCAAGACAACCAGGAGGUUGGCUUAGAAGCAGCCACCCUUUAAAGAAAGCGUAACAGCUCACUGGUCUAGAUAAGCCGUCCCGCGCCGAAGAUGUACCGGGGCUCAAGCCACACACCGAAACUGCGGAUUUGUUCUUUUAGAACAAGUGGUAGCGGAGCGUUCCGUAAGCCUGUGAAGGGUUGCCGCGAGGUUGCCUGGAGGUAUCGGAAGUGAGAAUGCUGACAUGAGUAGCGAUAAAGGGAGUGAGAACCUCCCUCGCCGAAAGCCCAAGGGUUCCUGCGCAAGGCCAAUCCGCGCAGGGUGAGUCGGCCCCUAAGGCGAGGGCGAAAGCCGUAGUCGAUGGGAACCAGGUUAAUAUUCCUGGACCUGUGGGUGGUGACGAAUGGCGUGUGUUGUGCGGGCUUAUCGGAUUGUCCGUGCAGCGAAGCUGUUCCAGGAAACAACCCCCACGUAUAGACCGUACCCCAAACCGACACAGGU
This 724-nucleotide ribosomal RNA is filed under the name Aristerostoma sp. ATCC 50986. RNAcentral's name for it is "partial Bacterial large subunit ribosomal RNA". It matches the Rfam family "Bacterial large subunit ribosomal RNA", at positions 841 to 1664 of the family's 2925-position model. The record is from RNAcentral. Lineage: Eukaryota; Ciliophora; Colpodea; Cyrtolophosidida; Cyrtolophosididae.